GUAGGGGGCAAGCGUUGUCCGGAUUUAUUGGGCGUAAAGAGCUCGUAGGCGGCUUAGCAAGUCGGUCGUGAAAUACCGAGGCUCAACCUCGGAACGCCGGUCGAAACUGCUAUGGCUAGGGUCCGGUAGAGGAGAGUGGAAUUCCCGGUGUAGCGGUGAAAUGCGCAGAUAUCGGGAGGAACACCAGUAGCGAAGGCGGCUCUCUGGGCCGGUACCGACGCUGAGGAGCGAAAGCGUGGGGAGCAAACAGGAUUAGAUACACUGGUAGUCCACGCCGUAAACGAUGGGCACUAGGUGUGGCAAGUUCAUCAACGCUUGCCCGUGCCGUAGCUAACGCAUUAAGUGCCCCCGCCUGGGGAGUACGGUCGCAAGGCUA
This 376-nucleotide ribosomal RNA is filed under the name uncultured organism. Its description in RNAcentral is "partial 16S ribosomal RNA". It matches the Rfam family "Bacterial small subunit ribosomal RNA", at positions 527 to 896 of the family's 1533-position model. The record is from RNAcentral.